Molecule: ribosomal RNA, 440 nt
Filed under: uncultured bacterium
Lineage: Bacteria
Description: partial 16S ribosomal RNA
Rfam family: Bacterial small subunit ribosomal RNA
Source: RNAcentral
CCUACGGGGGGCAGCAGUGGGGAAUAUUGCACAAUGGGGGAAACCCUGAUGCAGCGACGCCGCGUGAGUGAAGAAGUAUUUCGGUAUGUAAAGCUCUAUCAGCAGGGAAGAAAAUGACGGUACCUGAUUAAGAAGCCCCGGCUAACUACGUGCCAGCAGCCGCGGUAAUACGUAGGGGGCAAGCGUUAGCCGGAUUUACUGGGUGAAAAGGGAGCGUAGACGGCAGGGCAAUGCUGAAGUGAAAUGCCGGGGCUUAACCCCGGAACUGCUUUGGAAACUGUGCAGCUAGAGUGCAGGAGAGGUAAGUGGAAUUCCUAGUGUAGCGGUGAAAUGCGGAGAUAUUAGGAGGAACACCAGUGGCGAAGGCGGCUUACUGGACCGUAACUGACGUUGAGGCUCGAAAGCGUGGGGAGCAAACAGGAUUAGAUACCCGGGUAGUC